UAGGCAUAAGUUACCAUGGUGAUUUACCCGGUAAGAAGAGAAUCAGCUUGGCAGGCCGGAAAAAAAGUUAAAUUAGCAGUAAACAAUUCUGCAGAGACAUUGUUUGCUGUUGAUUUUCUGACUGUACUGGAUGUCAGUAAGAAAGAUUCCGGUGUUCCAGGGAGAACUGACUCUAGGGACAGUGACACAAGCAUCAGUCGAGUGGAUGGAUCUUGAAAAGGAGUUAGAGCAUUUUUUACAGACAAUAGAGAUGGAGGAGGCAGAUGUGCUUGACCGCUUCAUGGAGGAUUUGUCAAUGAGGCUGCCUCGAUAUGGGGAGAUUAACCUAUCUGCUGUUGGAGUGGUGGAGUUCCAGGGAGAACAGACUGUAGGGACAGAGACACAAGCAUCAGUCGAGAGGAUGGAACCUGCUGCCAAAUUAAAUCAGAUUAAACAAAACGUGGAGGGGGAAGAUGAACUUGACCGCUUCCUGGAGGCGAUAAAUACAAUUUUGGAAGACACACUCAACACUUCACCACCUCCUCCUCCUGCUGUCCCUGCUGAGCCAGGUUCCAACAGCCACCUUCAGGCAGUGGAAAGUCCGAGUGAUGGGGAUGGUGUCUCCACCACCCUGGUAGCAGGUCCACACAGCCUCAAGCAGCCAUGGAUGUCUGCUCCCAGUCAGGCUGCUCCCAGUUCCUAUCAACAGCCACUUACCUGCCACAUCAGCGGCCUGGACUCAACGUCCCAGGACCAGCAGCCGGCAGUGCUUCUCCACAACCAGAUGUCAGAAAGAAAAAUUCCAGAGUUUGAGGGAGAACAGACUGUAGGGACAGAGACACAAGCAUCAGUCGAGUGGAUGGAUCUUGAAAAAGAGUUGGAGAAUUAUUUACAGACAAUGGAGAUGGAGGAGGCAGACGUGGUUGACCUAGUCCUGGAGGCGAUAAAUACAAUUUUGCGAGACACAGGCAACACUUCACCACCUCUUCCUGCUGUCCCUGCUGAGACAGGGUUCAACAGCCACCCUCAGGCAGUUGAAAUUCUGAGUGAUGGAUAUGGUGUCUCCACCACCCUGGUAGCAGCUUCACACAGCUUCAAGCAGCCAUGGAUGUCUGCUCCCAGUCAGGCUGCUCCCAGUUUCUAUCAACAGCCACUCUAUGAUCAAAAUAUCAUGCAGUCAGGUGGUCAACUGUGCAACCAGGCAGGUGCUCAAAGCCAAGAACAGGUUUCACAGUACCUGCCACAUCAGUGGCCUGGAUACAACGUCCCAGGACCAGCAGCCAUCAGUGCUCCUCCACAACCAUACCUGCCACAUCAGUGGCCCGGAUACAACGUCUUAGGACCAGCAGGCUUUAGUACUCCACAACAAGAUUUGUCAAUGUGGCUGCCUCAGGGUGGAGAGAUAAACCUGUCUGCUGUCGGAGUAGUGAAAGGAAAGAUGGUGUAUGCGCUUCCACCGGGAAUGUCCUUCACUGCUUUUGAUCCUGCUGCUCCUCCACAGAACACCUCCAUGUCACAAAAAAGAAAGCGUGAGAGCUGGCAGGAGGAAGAUCAGACAUAUAUUAAGAAGCCGCCUAACGCUUUCAUGUUGUACAUGAAAGAGCAGAGGCCAAAAGUCCGCGCUGAACUGGACACCACAGUGAACAGUUCAACACUCAACACUAUUCUUGGACAAAGAUGGAAGUCACUGUCCAAGGAGGAGCAGGCCAGAUAUUAUGAAGAGGCGAACAAGGAAAGGCUACUCCACGCUGAACAAUUUCCAGAGUGGUCGUCCAGAAACAAUUAUGGCAAGAAGAGAAAGAGGAUCAGGACAAAGAAUUGCUGCCAGCGCUGAAGCAUUUCCGCGUGAGCUGCCACAUCUUGAGGUGAGGCCGCCGCCAUAAGCCAGUCAUCUAUAUACGUGGCCAUGCGUAUGCCCCUCUCUCACAAGAUUCAUGCUACUUCUGUGCACCCCCGGACUGAGUGACAGGCUGAAAGGGAGCACCAGAUAUUUGUAAGAAACUCCCUGGAAAGCAAAUCUCGGAUGUUUCCUGUGUAUAGAGGCAAUAUGGGAAUGUGAAAAUAUGAGUCAGGUCGAUCAACAUGAACAAAUCCCCCGGGUGCACAAAACGCAGGAGUGAAGCGUGAGUCAGCAUCCUGAAUUUGUAUUUCCUGAGGUAUUUGUUUAGCACCUUGAGGUCUAAAAUAGCUUGGAUUGCCCGCCCCCCUGUAUUUGGGAUUAGAGAAUAUCUAGAAUAAAAACCUUCCUGGCUCUGACCAGGAGGAACUAUUCUUAUGGCUCCUUUUUCCAAUUGAGUGUCAAUCUCUUCUUGUAAAAUAUGAGUCGACUCUCCCUGAGCCUGAGAAUAUAUGAUUCCCUUGAACUGAGGUGGAACGACAGCGAACCUGUCUAUCAACACCUAUUCUGAUUUUGUGCUCGCAAUCCAAUCCUCCCUUCUCAGUGAGAGGGGGCUGGCUGGCCAAUACCCCGGAGAUGUAUAUCUGGGGUGAGGGGGCAAGAAUAGCCACCUUUUUUUGUAAAGUGUGUCAAAGAGCUCGCUUCUUCCUUCUCACUCCCUGAGAGGGUUGAGGAGCUCGCUGACCCCCCUGUGGGCUGGCCUGGGUCAUUGGCUUUCUUGCCCAUUGAUGACAAGGUGUGUGCCCCAUGGAGCAGUCUGUGGCGCAUACUGAGCCCUGGGGAAUUUUGGAAUCGUGUAGCAAGGCGUGGGGCUGGGGCGUGUCACCCCCUGUGUAAACGUCUGCCGCGGGGUCCAGCAGCGCCUGGUUGGAACUACCUGGGCAAGCAGAGCUUUAGGGGCUCAUCCUCUUUCUUCUUGUCCUCACAUCUUUUCUGGAUCGAGGCUACUGCUGGGUCAAAGAGACCCUGUGGGACAACAAGUGUAUCCAGGAGUUCCUCCCUCUCAUGAGAAGCGAUGUUUGUGAGAUUCAACCACCUGGCUCUCUCCUGUACAACCAUCAGACCCAUCGCCCUGCCCGUGGCCUGGACUGCAAUCUUAUGGAGGUGUACGCAGGGGUCUCUAAUGAUUCAGAUCUCUUCCCAUAGUUUUGCGUCCGGCUUCGCUGUCACCACCUCCUCCAACUCUAACUGGUAUGCCCUCAGGAGUGAAGAUGCGUUCAGUGACCGGGCCGUGAGGGCAGCCACUUUCUAGUCCUUGUCCAUCAGGCUUGACUGAAAGCGGUCGGUCUUUGAGGGCAGGGAGGUCCCAUACACCGACAUAGGAGUGCCAGGAUGGAGCUGAGAGGCCACCACUGGUCCGUGUCCCCAUCUGAACCGAAGUGGUCACACAGCAAAGACCUCUCCUUUUUCUCUCUCCUCUCUAAAAGUCCCCCAGUCCAUGUGCAUUGUCUCCAAAUAGAUCUUCACUCAAAAUUUUAUUAGAUUAGGUUAGAUUUUUUAAAAAAAGGAUUCAUUGCUAUUUAGUCAUUAGUCUAUCAAUUAUUUCAUAUUUGGCGAUUAUUGCAAAAAUAAUGUCCC
RNA transcript from Scophthalmus maximus (turbot), 3454 nucleotides. RefSeq lists it as uncharacterized. The record is from RefSeq and is a predicted model, not a curated record. The transcript has 15 exons. NCBI's taxonomy places the organism in Eukaryota, Metazoa, Chordata, Actinopteri, Pleuronectiformes, Scophthalmidae.